This is a non-coding RNA of Paramuricea clavata, 2068 nucleotides long. NCBI's taxonomy places the organism in Eukaryota, Metazoa, Cnidaria, Anthozoa, Malacalcyonacea, Plexauridae. The record is from the annotation of a GenBank genome assembly.
AAUUCAGAAAACUUCACCGAAGGAAAAUAUAGAUAUUGUCAAUUUAUUGUGAAAUUAGACAAUAAAAGUGCAAAAGAUUAAACGUCAUGGUUGCCAUGGCAACACAAACACUGUUUUAAUUUGUUCAUAAAUGGACAGCACACAGCUUCUGAACUUUCCUGGAAAUGAUCAUAUUGCCUUGUCGUAAGUGUAUCUAAUAUAAAUUCGGUUCAAAGCAAACGAUACUCAAAAUACCCAGAAUUUUAGAGAACUGUAGGGAGCCACCUUAAGUGAUGAGGAUGAAAGUGACGAGGACGAAAUCACCCAUGCUGUACCAUUCAAGUGCAUCGGUGCUGCUCAUGAGAAAAAUUACCAACAUCAUUUCGAACAGGCAUACCUUGCUCUUCAUGGACAAGAUAAACCAGUGAAUGUAAGAGUACGGCCAGAGCCAUUGAAUCCAAUGGACCCAAGUGCAAUUGCAAUUGAUGUAGACUAUGGAACUGGAUGGACACAUAUUGGUUAUAUUGCUUCUCAACUAUGCGAGUAUUUGCACCCACUAUAACCACUAUUGCCACAGGAGAAAUCUUAGAGGUCUAUGUUCAGCAUAUCAAGUAAAGGGUUGACUUUUUUAAAAUAGGAUUUUAUCAAAAAAAUUUCAUAAAGCGAUGUGGUGAGUGGGAGACUCAAGUGGUAAGGGAGAGCAGGAGUAGCGAUGUGGUGAGUGGGAGACUCAAGUGGUAAGGGAGAGCAGGAGUCAGAGUGUACGUUGACAGAUGUUUGUGAUAUAAUUGUAACUGACUAGGUUUAGCAAGUUAUAGAAAUGAUGUUAUUUCAAUUGGCUAACUUUUUAGAUUUUCAUAAACAAAAUAAAUAAACAAAAUAAACAAAAAACAAAAUAAACAAAACAAAAUAAAAUAAACAAAAAAAAUAAAUAAAUAAAUAAAUAAAAAAUUAUUUUCAUAAACUAAAUAACUAAACUUUAUUUUCAUAAACAAAAACUCAUAAGUGCAUGGGUGUGCACAAUUAAAAUAAAACAAUGUCUGUCAUACACACUCAUGCAAUUAAGACAAGUAUAUAAUUGUAACAUGUGCUGUACUAAAUGAAGAAAUAAAUAGUUUAUACAUUCACUUGACCAACUUUGUGAGUUAUUUUUCAUUAAAAUUAAUGCAACAAUAAAACAAAAAUAUGUCUAUUUAUAUACAUAUUGAUCAAAGGUCCCACAAUAACAUGCUGCUGAUACUUUGUGAUACAUUACAUGAGAAUAAAAAAAAAAACCUGCAUAUAAUUGCACCUGUCAAUGUCAAGCCCCAGAGGGGGGUGGGCAUAUGUGGGGUAUUUGAUUAGCAUUUUGGGCCCAAGUUAGGGCAAUUUGAACCAAAAUGACUUUUAUUAAUAUAGUAUUUACUGCAAUUUAUUGCAAAAUGGUAGGGUGUUUGACCAAUAUUUAUUACCUAACAGUGGGACAUUUGAUUGAAAAUUUGCUCAAAAAAUCAAAUGCCCCACAUAUGCCCGACCCCGCCCCCUCUCUGGGGCUUAACAUUGAAAAAACCACCAUUUCUCAAACUUUAUCUGAAUUAGAUGUGUAACAUCAUUACAAAAUACUGUUAAAAAAAGGCCAAAUGGGCCUUCACUGCUAUAAAGGGCAUUCUAUCCAAUGGCAUCAGACCAUCAUCUCCACGGCGUUGCAGCUGUUCUCCAAAGCAUCUAGCAGCGUGAUAAAUCAGAUUGUCUUUUUGACCAGCAUGAAGUACAGACAUAGCCUUGGCAACAAGUGGGAGAAAAUUUGAGGGACAAAUUUAGCAUCUAAACCACCUGGUUAACUUUUACCAGCCAUUUUUGAAACAGGUGGAUGAGUAGUUGUUCUGGUUGUCGCUGAGUUAGUUUUGAAAAUCAUGCAGAAGUCAUCAUACCAAUAACAUAUUAACCAGAAAGGUGAACAAGGUUUUGGUCACUCGAUGGAGAGACAAUCAUAGCAUCGUAGAUCUUGCAGAUGUAGAAGGUCUGUACAGAUUGGAAGGACCGAUUUUACCUCCAAAUUUAAUGAUGAUGCUUAAUUCUUGCAGACAAAAUCAUUGACAGAAAUAGAUGC